Molecule: ribosomal RNA, 496 nt
Filed under: uncultured bacterium
Lineage: Bacteria
Description: partial 16S ribosomal RNA
Rfam family: Bacterial small subunit ribosomal RNA
Source: RNAcentral
GAUGAACGCUGGCGGCGUGCCUAAUACAUGCAAGUCGAGCGAACGGACGAGAAGCUUGCUUCUCUGAUGUUAGCGGCGGACGGGUGAGUAACACGUGGAUAACCUACCUAUAAGACUGGGAUAACUUCGGGAAACCGGAGCUAAUACCGGAUAAUAUUUUGAACCGCAUGGUUCAAAAGUGAAAGACGGUCUUGCUGUCACUUAUAGAUGGAUCCGCGCUGCAUUAGCUAGUUGGUAAGGUACGGCUUACCAAGGCAACGAUGCAUAGCCGACCUGAGAGGGUGAUAGGCCACACUGGAACUGAGACACGGUCCAGACUCCUACGGGAGGCAGCAGUAGGGAAUCUUCCGCAAUGGGCGAAAGCCUGACGGAGCAACGCCGCGUGAGUGAUGAAGGUCUUCGGAUCGUAAAACUCUGUUAUUAGGGAAGAACAUAUGUGUAAGUAACUGUGCACAUCUUGACGGUACCUAAUCAGAAAGCCACGGCUAACUACGUG